UAUAUAUAUGCGUGUGUAUUAAAAAAAUUGAAUUAUGCAUAUAUAUAUAAUAUAGAAGGAAAACUGUUGCCAUAUGAAAGUGGUAAAACAAUUAUUGGUUCAGCAAGAGAUUAGUUAACAGUUUGUUUUAUUAAAAUUUUAUCCUAUUUCCAUGCACAGAAUCUUUGGUUGAAAGUGAGGUCCCUAGAAAUUUUUGAAUUGUGUGUGCCCGCAUGUGUUAUAUAUAAAUAUAUAUAUAUAUAUAUAUAUAUAUAUAUAUAUAUAUAUAUAUAUAUAUAUAUAUAUAUAUAUAUAUAUAUAAUGUGUGUAUGUUUAUACACAUCACACACAGUCUUUCUUUUAGACAAAAAUUUGUCCUAAAAUUUUUCUGAAGUUUUCCUAACUUUAAAAUGAACACUAAAUAAAUGCUUUAUAUGCAACAUCCCAUGUAACCCUUGGCUUAGUCUCAACAAUUCUGAUUUUUGUACAGAUAUAUCUUGCAAUACUUAAACAGCAAGAGAUUAGUUAACAGUUUGGUUGAAAGUGAGGUCCCUAGAAAUUUUUUGAAUUGUGUGUGCCCGCAUGUGUUAUAUAUAAAUAUAUAUAUAUAUAUAUAUAUAUAUAUAUA
This 607-nucleotide long non-coding RNA is filed under the name Octopus vulgaris (common octopus). The record is from RNAcentral. Lineage: Eukaryota; Metazoa; Mollusca; Cephalopoda; Octopoda; Octopodidae.